AAGGGCCACCUCCAUAUUUAAUAUGAAUUUCUUUAAACCACCAGAGCUGGGCCUCAUUUCUCCCAUACUCUGUGGGAGUUCUGACUUUCAUCCAAGAUCUUCCCUAUGACUUUAAGAGCAGAAAGACAUGGUCCUUGUGGUGUCUCCCAAACUGGACUCCUCUUAGUUACAAGUGGACUAUGACUGACUUAUUAAAAUGAUCCUCAUCUUUCCAGAAACACUUGAAUGCUGCCACCAGUAUAUUUUUUAGCUGAGACCUUCCUCUUCCUUUUUUCCCCAUAACCAGAAUCUGUGGUCUGUGCUAACAUUGCUUCUCCAUGAAAAUUUCACUCCCACUCCACUCUUUCUACCUUUCUGCAGAUGCCUGCACUUUCACCGCAAAUCAUGAAAUGAUUACAUAUUUUUAACAGCAUUAUUGAGAUUAAAUUUAUUUACCAUAAAGCUCACCCAGGUAGCAGUGGCUGCCAGCUAUACCCUUUCAUAGAAUUAGCCUUUUCUUUAGGCUUUGCUCUUCUCAAAACAAAUACUUCCCUUUUUGUUCUCUUGUUUCCUCUUGUAAGUCCCUAGGAUUAUUAAACAUAGGGCUUGAAUUUCACUUUGAAAUGUUUUCCACGUUUGUGGUAAUAAUGUCACCUGAGGGUUUCUACUAGAUUAAGUAAAGGAAGAAACAGAGUGGGAGGGGAAUGAAGUGUGACAAACUCUCUUAUAAAAGAUAAGGCAAAAAUGGCAGUCAAUUAUUGUUUCUGAUAAAUGUAAUGUCAUCCAAUAAUUUAUAGUAAUUCUGAGAACUAUAGCCAGUAAAAUGAAUUUGCAUAGUCUGUCUUCUUUAGGACACUGAUUUUCAAACUUGAAUGCACACUGGAAUCACCCGAGGAAUUUAAAAAAACACCGACACCUGGAUCCCACACAAGGACCCUGAUUUAAAUGGAUAAUCCUCACCAGCCUCAGAGUUCAUGUCUGAAAGUAUAGAGGCGGCAGAUAACCAAUGCAAGUGAACAUGGGUGAAAAUGGAUGAAAGUCCAUCUGGGCUGUCUGCAAAAUGAGAAGAUUCUAGACACUGUUUCUUAAAUACCUUGGAGGCGAGGAUCACAAAAUGCUCUCAGAAGUUUAUGAAAGCUAUGGAGUCUCCGGAAAUAUUCAGAAUUUUGCAUGUUCUGGAUGAAGCCUUCCACCAUUUUAAAGCUCCUUUUAUGGAUAUUUCUGGUUUUGGUCUCAGAUUUUCAUUCUCCAAACAUUCUCUUUAGAUGACCACAUUCACUUUCAAGUAUUCAUGCCAAAUAAAUCUUCAUUUCCAGCCCAGACCUCCCUCCAAACUCUUGGUUUGUUUAGUCACUUGCAACACAGAUUAUUCAUCCAGAUUUCCAUGGGCAUCUCAAAAUCAACACAUCCAAAAUGAAGUUAUCAUCCCUGAUAAUCCUCCUAGCUCCUGUCCCAUUCAUCUCCCUCCCAUCUCUCACCCAUAAAGAAUUAACUACUGAUGUUUCUCACUAACCAACCCAUAAUAAUGACCUGCAUUAAUUAAUCCAUGUGCAAUUCAGAAUUACUUACAUUCAUUUAUCCAUGUGAUAUUUUCACUCAUUAAUCACCAUCGUCUGCAUAUGUAAACAGGAACAACAACAUCCACCUAUCCCAGCAGGGGUUUUGCAAUUACUUUAAAGCCUUUUCAAAUAUAUUUUUGUGUGAUUAAAAUGAUGGAGAUAUUUCAAAUGAAUUCAAGUAUAAAAUGCAAAAUAUUCCAACUUCAUAAACUGUUUACUUCUGGCUUAGAAAAUGUUAAUAUUUUUACUCAACCCAUCUGGCUCUGGAGAUGCUGUGUGUGCUUGAUAAUUGUAUGUGAAAAUUAUUAUUUGCAUCUUUAAAAAUUACUUGAGGAAUGCUAUUUAUUAAACUUGUUAUUCCUAUCUAUUUUUUGACAACAUAAUACAACUUUAAAUUCAAAAGAAAAAUUGACAAGACAUAUUUUAGCAGUUUAAAAUGAACAUCACAGAUACAAAAUGAUCAAAGUAAAAUAUUAUUAGCUGUAGAUGACUCAAAUAUUUCCUCGUCUUACUGUCUUUUGUUUUGAUGUGAUUUCCUUCCAUCCUUAAAAAAUCCUGUAGCACCAUCUGCUCCUAUAACACUUUGGCAUGCUUAAAAAUUUCAUUUCCAGACUCGGCAGUUUUGAAAUACUUCCAUGGACAUUUCUUAAAGAAAAUAAGUUGGAAGAAUUUCCAUUCCUCCCAGCUUGUUUCUUAAUAAACAGCAGACGAAGUACUCAAGAAACACAGAGCUAUAUAAAUGUUUUGUUAUAAUCAGACAUUUCCCUUCUGAUUUUCCCUCUGACCCUGUGGCUAUAUUAUGCCUGAGGAAACAGUAUUUUAUAUGCUAUGUGCACAGUUUAUGCAACAAUUUUUUAAUAUGCAGAUCUGGUUUUAUAAUCUGAAUUCUAAAAUGUAAUGAAUUUCCAUGAAGUGUAUGUUUCAUGGAUAAGCCAGCAUUUAAUAAAUGACUAGAUUACCCAAACACUCCAAGGGAAGUUGGAGACUAAGCAAGUAAUAUCAGUAAAAAUAAUCCAAUAAACUAAAUAGAUUCUCCUUCUACGAAAUUUAACCAUACAUUUAGAAAAAAUUAGACUUCCAGUUUUUGACAGCGGUAAUGGAAAAUUAAGUGGCUCAUUUUUUCAAUGUGUAUGACUCCAAGUCGUUGAAACUGAUACAGAAGUAUAAAUAAGAGGUAUUAAGUGAUGCUGAAACUGUGGUAGGAGAAAUAGCAAUGGACUAAUGGCCUCCUCAGGGAAGCCUAAAUAUAGGUGUUGCAUUGUUUACAAAUAUAUUCAUCCUUUUAGUCACUUAUUCAGCAUAUAUCAAACACCUACUAUGUCUAGAUUUCAUGUUAGUUUCUGCAAUGAAUCAAUAAUUUCCUUGUCAUUUUAAAAUAAUAUUUAUCUAUCAUCUUAGAGAUGCAACUUGGUCCCCUUCAUCCAGCAAUUUCUACUCUAACCCGUUUUUCACAUAAUAGCCAGAGUAAAUUUUGUAAAGUUACAAUUGUAUUGUAGGAUAAAGGUCUAACUCCUUAAUGUGGUUUACAAUGCCCUUUACAAAAGUCUCACUUUUACUUACCCUCUUAGUCUCUGCCUUUCUACACUUACUGUCUAGCCAUACUGAAUUACUUCGCUGUCACUCGAGACUUAGUUCUUUGCAUGCUCUUUCCUCCACCAAAAAUAUUUUUUUUUCUCCUCUCCUUACCUGGCUUCUUUUUUAAAAACUUUUAUUUAUUUAUUUAUUUAUUUUGAGACAGAGUCUCUCUCUAUCACCCAGGUGGGAGUGCAGGGGUGCAAUCUCGGGCUCACUGCAACCUCUGCCUUCCAGGUUCAAGCGAUCCUCCUGCCUCACCCUCCCAAGUAGCUGGGAUUACAGGCAUGCACCACCAUGCCUGGCUAAUUUUUGUAGUUUUAGUAGAGACGGGGUUUCACCAUGUUGGCCAGGCUGGUCUCAAACUCCUGACCUCAAGUGAUCUGCCUGAGGCCUCCCAAAGUACUGGGAUUACAGGCGUGAGCCACCGUUCCCGGCCUCUUUACCUGACUUCUUUUCUUUACCCUUUAGUUUCUGACAUAAACAUCUUAUCAGUGAAACCUUCCCUAAGGAACAAUGCCAAGUCAGAUGACCAUAGUGACCUAUGCUUUCCACCUUGCAGCACAUAACACAGCCAGUUAUUUAUUUCCUUGCCUCUUCUACUGGACUGUAAACCCCUUGAGGACAGGAAAUAUACUUUGCUUGCCCUGGAAACCUCGUUAUGUGAAAUAGCACUUUGGCAUACCUUGGUAAAAAAAAGGCUGAAUGAGGAAGUGGAAGAGUGAGCCAUGCAUUCUUCCUGUCUCUCUGAGUGAGGUCAUUCAAAAUGGCAAGGGUGUAAAGACGAGGGAGGCAUUCAUUUGCCUUGCCACUUGACUACAUGGGUUGGAAUAUUUGAUGGUAAAUGCACAUACUUAAUCAUACUCUUUUUUAAACACUACAUUUAAAUUCUAAUUUACUAUUAAAAUAUUUCCAACUUAAAUCAGUAAUGCCUUAAUUUUUCUUAUGGAGAAGAGUGUGUGACUUACUCUUCUUGUUUACUUUAGUGCAUUAUGAUGGACUGAAAUACAAAACAAUUCCAAGAUCAACUUAAAUAUAUUUUUCUUGUUUUGGAAGCAGAAUAAUAAUAACAAAUUAACUAAUCUAGAGAAAUAAAUAUGUUCAGUAGAGAGAUAAUUGCAUUUGCUUGGGUAAAAUAUUUUGGCUUGCUCAGUAUCACAUGUAUACAGCUGUAUUUCUAAAACAACUUUAUUCAUAAAUAACAUUUCUUUAAAUAUUUAUUGAUAAUGAUAUGGCAAUCUAGUAUACUAUGACUUUAACCUCUAUAGAUUCUAAGAUCAAAUAUGUAAAUGAAAUAAACAUACAUCUAUGCAUAUUCAACUAGGAAGCAUUGUAUUGAAACACUAAUGAUAGUAUUAAGGGUUGAAUUUUAUUUUCAUUUUUUUACUUUUCUAUAUUUUUCCAAACUUUGAGAAUGAGCACAUAGAAAAGAAAACCAAUUAACAUUUUUAUAUAUGAGAUAGAGCAGAAAAGAUAAUGACAUUGUUCAAGAGAGAAAUAGUAGAUAUGGGUGUUCCAUAAGUUUCUUGCUAGCUUUAAAACUAAUUUUAUGAGUUCUCAAUUGUACUGUCAAAAAAUAUAUAGAUUUCAAUCCAGUAGAGAUUCAAAUAGAAAUAUCUGUCAAAUAUUCUUUCUUAAUAGAUAAUUAAUGAAAAAGCAUACAAUAUGACUGUCAUAAAAGGUGAAUGCCUUUCACCUCAUGGGCACUUACGUAUCUAAUGAAUCCAUGAACUGGUCAAUGAAUAGAAACUGAAGUUUGUGUAUUAAAAUCCUGUCUCUGCUGCCCUCCAGUGGCUUAACUCUGAAGAACUUCAAAAGAGAAAAUCAAGUGCCAUCUAUUCCCAGAUCCUUAUUUGUGGUGAGUAUGAAUGCUCAGGUGUGUGAGCUUGGGAUUUUUCCUGGACAGUUUUGUAUUUGUCCUAUUAGAUAUUACCUUGGUAUAUCAAGACCAAAUUCCCAAGACUAAAUGCAUUACCCAUCUCCUCCCACCUGCAGAAGGGUAAGCUGGAGCAACUGCCAUAAAUGGUGCCAAUAAAUACUAGCAUUUGUUCGUGGACAGUUUAUAGAGACUUUUCAAUUGUGUUAUCACAGAAAACUCCUAGUAAGAAAUAGUGGUGAUAGCAAUUGCAUCUCGUUUAUUAGAAAUUUCUCUGAUUCCCUUUACAAAGUGGGUGAUGGUGUCAGUGUUAUCUUUAGGUAUGAAAACCCUAUGAACAGCUUAUAGUCUAAAACUUACAAUGUGGUGCUGUAGAAAGAUGUUAGCUUAGCAGCAAACAUCAUCAAUAAAUAUCUUCUGCAAUCUGGUAACCAUUAGAAUUAUAUAUUUUUUAUUGCCCUGGACUAUGAGAAUUACAUUCUGAAUUCAUUUGGUAUCUUGUGUAGGCAUAGGAGAAAACCUUUUUGUAUCUAAGAAAAUGGGGUUUUUGACAUUGACUAUCACCUGUUCCCAGAUCUCCUAGGACUCAGACCUCAGACCUCACACCCCUGAAAGCUGAAACCUCGGGGGUUUCAGAUAGUGAUCUCUAAUUGAGUUCUUGUCUAGAUGAAUUCUUAAAAUAUUUUACCUUUCCCUGUUAUUGUGGUUCUGGAAUAUUCUUUUGGUUUUAGCCAAGGAAAUCUCUCAAUUUCUUCAAAAGUUUGCUACUGUGCCUCUAGGUGGUACAAUUAUUUCCAUCUUUUUGCUCAUUUGCAGCCUGUCUUUUUGGAUUAUAGUCUCUCACUACUUAAGCAAUUUCUUCCUUUUCUGUAGUAUGUCUCAUUUGUCCUUCAUAAUAAUGAAUGUCUGUGUUUUUUAUUCUCAGGUAGAUUACUGGAAUUUUACGUAUAUUUUAUUGGUGUUCUCAUGAAUGCUUGGAUUUAACAAUUGUACCAUUUUCCAACGUUCUAUGUCAUAGUAAUUUUGCAACUUGUUUUCAAUUAAUAAUAUGUUGAGAAUAGUGUACAUAAAAUGCAUUUUAGAACUAAUCCUAAGAUAAAGUGUCUCACCAAAGCAUAUUUUAUAACAAUAAAGCAGUAGAAAAAAUAAGUUAACUAAAUGUCCAACAAGUGGAGAUGUAUUAUAUAAAUUCAGUACCAUCAAAAAUGUAAUAUUACUCAGUAAUUAAAAUUAUAUUUUAUUUAAAUGUUCAUUGGCUUGUGAAAAGUCUAUAACAUACCAAGUAGAAGUUAAAGUUAUAUUUUGUAAGUUAAAAAAAUUUUAAAAGGUGAG
This 6318-nucleotide long non-coding RNA is filed under the name Homo sapiens (human). RNAcentral's name for it is "PREDICTED lncRNA (TCONS_00261878)". Lineage: Eukaryota; Metazoa; Chordata; Mammalia; Primates; Hominidae. The record is from RNAcentral.